AAGACUAUACUUUUAGGGAUCAUUUCUAUAGUAUGUGACUAGAAAAGUUUCUCGGAUCCUGUAGAGCACCCAAAACCACGAGGAGGAGCCAGAAUGUCCUCUCCUGAGCUUGAAGCCGGCCCUAGGUGUCGCUUCUGCGGCUGCCUUUGGCCAUUGAUGAUCGUUCUUCACUGCCUUUGGAAGGGAUAAAGGGAGAGGAUGCAGUCUGAGUGGU
Molecule: small nucleolar RNA, 214 nt
Organism: Suncus etruscus (white-toothed pygmy shrew)
Lineage: Eukaryota; Metazoa; Chordata; Mammalia; Eulipotyphla; Soricidae
Product: small nucleolar RNA U3
Exons: 1
Source: RefSeq, a predicted model, not a curated record